RNAcentral lists this transfer RNA (71 nucleotides) under Loxodonta africana (African savanna elephant). It matches the Rfam family "tRNA". Rfam says of the family: Transfer RNA (tRNA) molecules are approximately 80 nucleotides in length. The record is from Rfam by way of RNAcentral. Lineage: Eukaryota; Metazoa; Chordata; Mammalia; Proboscidea; Elephantidae.
UUAUUGGUGGUUCAGUGGUAGAAUUCUUGCAUUCCGUUCAGGAGACCCGGGUUCAAUUCCCAGCCAAUGCA